This 460-nucleotide ribosomal RNA is filed under the name uncultured bacterium. RNAcentral's name for it is "partial 16S ribosomal RNA". It matches the Rfam family "Bacterial small subunit ribosomal RNA", at positions 338 to 795 of the family's 1533-position model. The record is from RNAcentral.
CCUACGGGUGGCAGCAGUGAGGAAUAUUGGUCAAUGGGCGUAAGCCUGAACCAGCCAAGUCGCGUGAGGGAUGAAGGCUCUAUGGUUCGUAAACCUCUUUUAUAAGGGAAUAAAGUGCGGGACGUGUCCCGUUUUGUAUGUACCUUAUGAAUAAGGAUCGGCUAACUCCGUGCCAGCAGCCGCGGUAAUACGGAGGAUCCGAGCGUUAUCCGGAUUUAUUGGGUUUAAAGGGUGCGUAGGCGGGCUGUUAAGUCAGCGGUGAAAGUGUGUGGCUCAACCAUAGAAUUGCAGUUGAAACUGGGGGGCUUGGGUAGGUUUGAGGCAGGCGGAAUGCGUGGUGUAGCGGUGAAAUGCAUAGAUAUCACGCAGAACCCCGAUUGCGAAGGCAGCCUACCAAGCCAUGACUGACGCUGAUGCACGAAAGCGUGGGGAUCGAACAGGAUUAGAUACCCCAGUAGUC